UCCCCCACUCUGCAUGGAGCAGUACAGCAGCAAUGCCUAGGAACAACCAGGCACACAGAGUGGUUUUAUAAUUAGCUACUUGCUCUCUGCCACUAAUGUACAGGGAGCAAGAGCCUCCUUCUGAGUGUGUAUGGUUGGCUGGCACUCAACAUGUGCAGGCCACCGCUGAUGAUAAUAUGUAGGUGUAGGGUGGUAUAUGUUGACUGAGGUCACAGUGACAGACUGAGGUGAGAGACGGAGGCAGGCGAAUGUGUGUAGGUAGCGCUCGCCGUCUCACCACUCAGCGGGUGAGAAUUGUGCCUGGGGCUGGUGGCUGAUUGCUUUGAUGUGAAAUGAUUGCGUUUUACGUGGCUCUGAGGUGCAGAGACCACAGGCAUGGCCCUUGUCUCGCUGUCACAUGGUCAGUCAGGCUUAGGUUAGCCAGUGCUACACCCCACUGGCUCCCUAAGGGUCCAGAGGGCCGGGGACAGAUGUAGCUGUUGGUACAUACAUGUGUUAUGGGGAGCGAGAACUCAGCUGCUGGUUGCAUCUCCAGCCUUGAGAUAAAAGAGCAUGGUCCUGGCAAGGAGGUGAAAAUGAAACAGGGAGAAAAGGUCUGUCUAGUAAGGGUUAGCAAGGGCACUUCCUCAGUCCCUGAAGGAAAGGUCCCUCCAAUGUCAGUGAACAGAGCAAAAGAAAGAUUUUAGGAUAUAAGAAUUUAAUAAAAUUAAGUGGUACAGGAAAUAGCAGUGUGUGUGGUAAAACAGCAAACUUCAGAGGUAAGUGCAAUCACUAUAAUCUGCUGUUAUUGUUUUAUUUUUUUAUUGUUUUUAACAUUGACUAGGUUCUACAAGCCUUUUGUUGCAAGCUGUUCAAGAUCAGCUAUAUUAUUGCAUUCAUAAAAACAAGUUCAUACUUGUGGGCUCUGGAUGUUAUGAAGCCACACAGGAUUACAAUGUACAUAGUGUCUCAUCUCAUCUCAUCCUGCUCCCCUACCACCUCUGCACUCUUUUUUUCUUGCCUCCAUAGGACAGACAGCAUCUGUUGUUCAGCCACGCUCAUACAGCAGAUAGAACAUCCACCGAGUGUAGAGGUGGAAGUGGAGCGAUCAAUUAGAUUUUAACAAAUGACUUUCUGUGCAUUACCCAGCAGCUGUUAAAUCGGUCAACCUUAGCACAAACCCCUCUCUGAGGGGACGGAGGAAAGGAGGAGAGGGCUUGUCUGCACUGUGUGCUACAUCAUGGCAAACUGAGGAGAAAGUCAGCCAUGGCCUCAGGCGGGAGAGUGCUACGUGUAGCGUGGCUGUGGACGGAGAUGGAGGGACGGAGGAUGAAGGAUGGAGGUGGGUCAGUUGGACCCCAGGGGCCCCUGGUGGAGAUGAUGUGGGGACUGAGGGCCAGGAGAUGGGCAUGCUACAUAUGGAGGUCCAUAGCUACCUCAGGCAAAGGCCGGCCAGGCCAUUUGUUCACUUCCUCUACUCUUAAAUGUAUAAAUAAAAUAUAUCCCACUGUAUCUGUGACAAACUCGCACACUCACAGGCAUACACACACAGCACACACACACACACACACACAUAUAUAUAUAUAUAUAUAUAUAUCAGCACAAAUAAGUGUGCAUGCACAGGCACAAACUCAUUUCAGAAAGGACAUACCUACUUUUAGUCCUAUCCUACUAGUAACCUCAGUCUUUAAAGAGAGCACAACUCAGUGAUUCAACUCCCUAAAUGAUGUAGUUUUAUGGUGAAGUGCUACUAAUGGCUCAUCAGAACAUCUUAAAAGGCCACUUUAAAGCUAGCAGGCCUAUAAACUGUGUGACACACAGCAGUGGGUGACCACACAAUACUCAUUUGAGUGACUGAAUGCAUAGUGGUAUGUGUAAGUGUGUGGGAGAGAGAAUGAAACAGACAGACAAGCAUUUGCAAGCAUGGUAACACCAUUUGACUUGCUUUGUAUUGUCACCUCUGGGUUUGCUAAGGGUAUAUUUUCCAAUAGCUACCAGAUUGGAAAUAGGCGAGCACGCUUAGAUGUGUGAUGAUGCAAGAGAAAGUUAUUCUCACAUUGGAUACAUAGAUACAGUAGAUCCAUAACAGAUCAGGCUUCUGACAUGCAUGUCCUCAUCUCAGGUUCAAUGACUAUAUCCCCAGAAAAGAACACACUUAGGACUUAGAACAUGUAUUUUUUCUGUUGCAAUUUAGAGCUGUAGUCAAUAGUUAAAUCAGUAGAAAAGGACUACAUAUUUCCAACUGCACAUCACUGUACAGGCACUGUAAUCACUGAGCACAAUAGAGCAGAAAGCUUAUACUUAUGGAAAGUACUGUAUAAUGGCAGAGAGGUUUGGUGAGGUCUACCAUUAAGUUUUGAUAGGAUGGUUGCCAUGCUAACCUUUAUGGAGGUGAAAAAUAAAUCUGUCACAUAACCCUGACACAGUUUUAUGGAGAAAAUAAGUUUCAUGUAGGUCUUGUCAAGUAAUGUUAUACUUUAUAUAUACAGUAUAUAUACUGUAUGUAUACCUUAUGUAACCAUGCAAACGAUCUAACUUCGCUAUAAUUGUGGUAAAGCAGUUUACUUCAACAAUCAACCGCUGGAUGUUAAGCACUUAUAAGAUGUCUUUGAUUUGUUUCCUACAUUUUCCACUUUAUUUGAUAGUUACAGUUGCGAGAGAAAGGAAAGGCAGGGGAGAGAGAGGGGAUGACAUUCAGCAAAGGGCCCGGGCCGGACUCAAACCUGAGCCGCUGAGGUGAAGCAGUAUUGCCUCUUGUGUCCAAAGUGCCUUUCAUACCCCCCUCCCCCAUCAGUCACCAACCCCCAAGCCCAAUAACCCCAUUGAGGAGCAUUUCUUAAUUAAACCUUUAUUUAUCUACUUGAGGGUCUGCCAUGCUCUACCUCAUAUUGAGACUUGACUGGUUUCAGACCCAAGGGAAUAGGUCUUUAAAAUCUAAACAUCAGGCCCACUGAGUGCUAUAGUUUGCAUAGGCGUGUAAGCUAGGGGUUUAAUAAUAAGAAGAUGAGACAGCGAGUCAUCCUGUGGAGGGAUGGAAACUAAUGAGAUGGGGUUUGUGAAACAGAGAAGGGAGUAAAGAUAGAACUGUGGAACAGAAGGUGGAAUGAAAAUGAUAAACAAAACAGAGCAAUUCAGACCUCAUAAAGAUUCUCAUAUUUUUACCUACUGGAUGAAAUAAUGCAAAAAUGCAUCUGUCUGGGGCUGAAUCACGGUACCUUCACCACUAGCACACUAUGGAAGAAAGCAAGUCUUAUUACCUUGGACAUUUUAUUUCAGUGACUGGAGGGCAGAAAGCAAUUACAUUAACAGCAGCGAAGAACAAAUCUUUUGAAGGUGAACAACACUGAAUUUCAAUAUUGGAAUAUUUGUUCGGCACUCCGGAGUUGGGGUGUGAUGCAUUUUUUUCAUUUAUAACUUUUAGCACUGCUAUGAAAUAUGCAUCGAACGUCACCACUUAUUGGCUCGGUUCUCAGUAUUUGGUGUUGGGUUUGUUCACAAACUCAUGCAGACUGUCCCUUGACUGCAUACAUUGCUGCCCCCCAGUUUGCCAAAUUUAUUUUAACUUGACCAUCUUGCUUGACCAUCAGUGGUGGGUCACAGCUUAUCUCAAACCUUACAGGAGAAUGUAAAUCUACAGAAGCUGGCCGAACCAAAUUCAUAAACAAAAACCAAAAGCAGCAGAGAGAUUUGUGAAUUAAGCAAAUCACCUUGUCAGUGGAGGAAUUAGUCCUUCACUAUCAAUUAUCAAAUAAAUAAGUAUCAAUUCUAUAACUGAACAAUACCUACAUUGAAAGUCCUGUAUUCAAACUACUGAAAGAAAUAGAAAUAUUUACUUUAAACCUGCAUUAAUUGACUUUUUGGCCACUCGGGUGAAGCGCAAGAAGCUGUAAACACAACAUUGACGUAUUAUCACCAUAUUAAGUUGAUAAUGGUGUUAGCAAACAGUUGCCUAUUUGCACAUCACAGCAGUCAUGGGGCAACGUUAUCAUUUAUAUGGAGUCGUGUUUCAGUGACCAGUGAAAAAUGCAAGUCCAAAAUUUACUCUCCUUUUACCUCUGUUUUGGUUUCCACCAACUCCUGAGGGAAAUAUCUGUCUGUCUUUAGCUUCACUUCAGCUUUGUCUGUUUGCCAUUUGGUGUUGCACAGGUAGCAUGCAGUGAGUUUAUCAGAGCUUUUUAGUUGAAAACAGCUUCCUACUGCAGAUGAAAAUGGCUCUAUGAGUGGUGAAAGUCAGCCAAAACAGUAAAGUUGCAGGUCGUAAAACCAAAACAAUGAGCUGAAAGGCGCUAAAAAGCUCCUUAGAGCUGAGCGGAACUGCAGAGGCAGGUGACAAUUCUAGGUUCCUCAUUACAAGUGACUCUUUUUGCACUACAUAUAUGUAUCUGACCCAUUGUUAAUAUGAAAUUAUUGACUGAGCAGUUUCAAAAUGUACUCAAGCCUGAAACUUAACAGUACUCAUUGUGAAGUAUGUUGAUGAAUUAGGUUUCAACUACAUAAAAUGCAUUUUUGGAUACGUUUUGUCAGUUUGGUCGUGGCAUGCUGCUCGAACAAUGUGCCUGGCACUUUGGACUUGGCCACUUUACUGCAACCUCCAGUUUGAACACACAGUAACACUACAUCAGAGUCAUAUGGAGAUACAAAUUUUCUUGGAGGAAGUGCAUCUCUGUCUCAACCUCACCUGUCAAACAAUGACCACAGUCAUGGUGCAGUUAGUCUCAGCACCAACUGACAUCGGGGACUCUUCUCUGGGUUCAGCUCUUGGGUUUGGAGGGCUCUGAAAUGGAGGAUGUCUAGGGGGCUGGAUUUAAGGUAUAGCUAUGAUGGCUAAGUGGACCCCAUACUUCACUACUAUAC
This is a long non-coding RNA of Siniperca chuatsi (mandarin fish), 4833 nucleotides long. RefSeq lists it as uncharacterized. The record is from RefSeq and is a predicted model, not a curated record. The transcript is spliced from 4 exons. NCBI's taxonomy places the organism in Eukaryota, Metazoa, Chordata, Actinopteri, Centrarchiformes, Sinipercidae.